This 563-nucleotide ribosomal RNA is filed under the name uncultured bacterium. RNAcentral's name for it is "partial 16S ribosomal RNA". It matches the Rfam family "Bacterial small subunit ribosomal RNA", at positions 355 to 900 of the family's 1533-position model. The record is from RNAcentral.
UGGGGAAUAUUGGACAAUGGGCGCAAGCCUGAUCCAGCAAUGCCGCGUGUGUGAAGAAGGCCUUCGGGUUGUAAAGCACUUUUAUCAGGAGCGAAACGCUGUCGGCUAAUACCCGGCGGAACUGACGGUACCUGAGGAAUAAGCACCGGCUAACUUCGUGCCAGCAGCCGCGGUAAUACGAAGGGUGCAAGCGUUAAUCGGAAUUACUGGGCGUAAAGCGUGCGUAGGCGGUUUCUUAAGUCUGCUGUGAAAUCCCCGGGCUCAACCUGGGAAUGGCAGUGGAUACUGGGAGGCUAGAGUGUGUCAGAGGGGUGGGUGGAAUUCCCGGUGUAGCGGUGAAAUGCGUAGAGAUCGGGAGGAACAUCAGUGGCGAAGGCGGCCAACCUGGGACAACACUGACGCUGAGGCACGAAAGCGUGGGGAGCAAACAGGGAUUAGAUACCCUGGUAGUCCACGCCCUAAACGAUGCGAACUGGAUGUUGGUCUCAACUCGGAGAUCAGUGUCGGAAGCUAACGCGUUAAGUUUCGCCGCCCUGGGGGAGUACGGGUCGCAAGACUGAAAC